GAUCAUGCUCAGGAUGAACGCUAGCUACAGGCUUAACACAUGCAAGUCGAGGGGCAUCAGGGUGUAGCAAUACACCGCUGGCGACCGGCGCACGGGUGAGUAACACGUAUCCAACCUGCCCUUUACUCGGGGAUAGCCUUUCGAAAGAAAGAUUAAUACCUGAUGGUAUAACAUGACCUCCUGGUUUUGUUAUUAAAGAAUUUCGGUCAUCGAUGGGGAUGCGUUCCAUUAGGUUGUUGGCGGGGUAACGG
This 251-nucleotide ribosomal RNA is filed under the name uncultured bacterium. Its description in RNAcentral is "partial 16S ribosomal RNA". It matches the Rfam family "Bacterial small subunit ribosomal RNA", at positions 15 to 263 of the family's 1533-position model. The record is from RNAcentral.